Molecule: ribosomal RNA, 255 nt
Filed under: uncultured bacterium
Lineage: Bacteria
Description: partial 16S ribosomal RNA
Rfam family: Bacterial small subunit ribosomal RNA
Source: RNAcentral
GACGAACGCUGGCGGCGUGCUUAACACAUGCAAGUGGAGCGACGAACCGGGGCUUGCCCCGGGGCAGAGCCGCGAACGGGUGAGUAACACGUGGGUAACCCACCCCGAUGACCGGGACAACCCGAGGAAACUCGGGCUAAUACCGGAUGUGCUCCUUGACCUCGAGGUCAAGGCGUAAAGAUAGCUUCGGCCUUCGCAUCGGGACGGGCCCGCGGCCCAUUAGCUUGUUGGUGGGGUAACGGCCUACCAAGGCGA